Molecule: transfer RNA, 73 nt
Filed under: Cricetulus griseus (Chinese hamster)
Lineage: Eukaryota; Metazoa; Chordata; Mammalia; Rodentia; Cricetidae
Rfam family: tRNA
About the family: Transfer RNA (tRNA) molecules are approximately 80 nucleotides in length.
Source: Rfam by way of RNAcentral
GAAGGUGUAGCUUGAUUGGUAAGAGUGUCUGCUUAACAUGCAGAAUACCUAGGUCCAAUCCCCAGCACUGUAU